AGCACGGGGGCAACCCUGGUGGCGAGCGGCGAACGGGUGAGUAACACAUCGGAACAUGCCCAGUCGUGGGGGAUAACACUUCGAAAGAAGUGCUAAUACCGCAUACGUCCUGAGGGAGAAAGCGGGGGACCGCAAGACCUCGCGCGAUUGGAGUGGCCGAUGUCAGAUUAGCUAGUUGGUGGGGUAAAGGCCUACCAAGGCAACGAUCUGUAGCUGGUCUGAGAGGAUGAUCAGCCACACUGGGACUGAGACACGGCCCAGACUCCUACGGGAGGCAGCAGUGGGGAAUUUUGGACAAUGGGGGCAACCCUGAUCCAGCCAUUCCGCGUGAGUGAAGAAGGCCUUCGGGUUGUAAAGCUCUUUCGGCAGGAACGAAACG
This 379-nucleotide ribosomal RNA is filed under the name uncultured bacterium. Its description in RNAcentral is "bacterial SSU rRNA". It matches the Rfam family "Bacterial small subunit ribosomal RNA", at positions 71 to 452 of the family's 1533-position model. The record is from RNAcentral.